This 400-nucleotide ribosomal RNA is filed under the name uncultured bacterium. Its description in RNAcentral is "bacterial SSU rRNA". It matches the Rfam family "Bacterial small subunit ribosomal RNA", at positions 28 to 410 of the family's 1533-position model. The record is from RNAcentral.
GAUGAACGCUGGCGGCGUGCCUAACACAUGCAAGUCGAGCGAGAAGCUUAUGACUGAUACUUCGGUUGAGAGACUAAGUGGAAAGCGGCGGACGGGUGAGUAACGCGUAGGCAACCUGCCCUUUGCAGAGGGAUAGCCUCGGGAAACCGGGAUUAAAACCUCAUGACACUGUGUAUCCGCAUGGAUAGACGGUCAAAGAUUUAUCGGCAAAGGAUGGGCCUGCGUCUGAUUAGCCAGUUGGCAGGGUAACGGCCUACCAAAGCGACGAUCCAUAGCCGGCCUGAGAGGGUGAACGGCCACAUUGGGACUGAGACACGGGCCCAGACUCCUACGGGAGGCAGCAGUGGGGAAUAUUGCACAAUGGGGGAAACCCUGAUGCAGCGACGCCGCGUGAAGGAAG